GGUGUCCUCAGGGGUGGGCACCAUGUCCUGUUCCUCUCAGCACCCGGGCCUCAAGCAGGAGCUCGGGAAGUGUUGAGUGAAAGCACCUGCCAUGCUGCUCCCUCCUCAGCUUCUGAGCAGAUCCACAGGGACAGGCUGAUGCCUCCCAACUACCCAGCAUCCUGGGGACUGUUGUGGUCCUGCUGCUGAUCCUGGGAGCUGGACUGUUCCUCUGGAGGACACGAGUGAAGAAGAGCCUGGAGCCUGGGAGAGGUGCAGGGUCCCAGGACGAGCACAGGGACCCCGAUGGUGGCAUUCACUAUGCAGAGCUGAGCCAGCAGGGGUCUGGAGACAGCAGGGACCAGGUGAGGCUACAAAUGGGGGCAGCCUGGGUCCUCCCUCGUCCCUCUGUGCCUGGGUGUGUGCCU
RNAcentral lists this long non-coding RNA (407 nucleotides) under Vulpes vulpes (red fox). Its description in RNAcentral is "lncRNA (ENSVVUG00000012019.1)". Lineage: Eukaryota; Metazoa; Chordata; Mammalia; Carnivora; Canidae. The record is from RNAcentral.